RNAcentral lists this ribosomal RNA (460 nucleotides) under uncultured bacterium. RNAcentral describes it as "partial 16S ribosomal RNA". It matches the Rfam family "Bacterial small subunit ribosomal RNA", at positions 338 to 795 of the family's 1533-position model. The record is from RNAcentral.
CCUACGGGAGGCAGCAGUGAGGAAUAUUGGUCAAUGGACGAGAGUCUGAACCAGCCAAGUAGCGUGAAGGAUGACUGCCCUAUGGGUUGUAAACUUCUUUUAUAUGGGAAUAAAAUGUUCCACGUGUGGGAUUUUGUAUGUACCAUAUGAAUAAGGAUCGGCUAACUCCGUGCCAGCAGCCGCGGUAAUACGGAGGAUCCGAGCGUUAUCCGGAUUUAUUGGGUUUAAAGGGAGCGUAGGUGGAUUGUUAAGUCAGUUGUGAAAGUUUGCGGCUCAACCGUAAAAUUGCAGUUGAAACUGGCAGUCUGGAGUACAGUAGAGGUGGGCGGAAUUCGUGGUGUAGCGGUGAAAUGCUUAGAUAGCACGAAGAACUCCGAUUGCGAAGGCAGCUCACUGGACUGCAACGGACACUGAGGCUCGAAAGUGUGGGUAUCAAACAGGAUUAGAUACCCAAGUAGUC